GAUGAACGCUGGCGGCGUGCCUAAUACAUGCAAGUCGAGCGAACAGACGAGGAACUUGCUCCUCUGACGUUAGCGGCGGAAGGGUGAGUAACACGUGGAUAACCUACCUAUAAGACUGGGAUAACUUCGGGAAACCGGAGCUAAUACCGGAUAAUAUAUUGAACCGCAUGGUUCAAUAGUGAAAGACGGUUUUGCUGUCACUUAUAGAUGGAUCCGUGCCGCAUUAGCUAGUUGGUAAGGUAACGGCUUACCAAGGCAACGAUGCGUAGCCGACCUGAGAGGGUGAUCGGCCACACUGGAACUGAGACACGGUCCAGACUCCUACGGGAGGCAGCAGUAGGGAAUCUUCCGCAAUGGGCGAAAGCCUGACGGAGCAACGCCGCGUGAGUGAUGAAGGUCUUCGGAUCGUAAAACUCUGUUAUUAGGGAAGAACAAAUGUGUAAGUAACUAUGCACGUCUUGACGGUACCUAAUCAGAAAGCCACGGCUAACUACGUG
Molecule: ribosomal RNA, 497 nt
Filed under: uncultured bacterium
Lineage: Bacteria
Description: partial 16S ribosomal RNA
Rfam family: Bacterial small subunit ribosomal RNA
Source: RNAcentral